RNAcentral lists this transfer RNA (76 nucleotides) under Alphaproteobacteria bacterium. Its description in RNAcentral is "tRNA-Ala". It matches the Rfam family "tRNA". Rfam says of the family: Transfer RNA (tRNA) molecules are approximately 80 nucleotides in length. Their secondary structure includes four short double-helical elements and three loops (D, anti-codon, and T loops). The record is from RNAcentral. RNAcentral also lists the same sequence under 3 other names. Lineage: Bacteria; Pseudomonadati; Pseudomonadota; Alphaproteobacteria.
GGGGAUAUAGCUCAGCUGGGAGAGCGCUUGCAUGGCAUGCAAGAGGUCGUCGGUUCGAUCCCGAUUAUCUCCACCA